Molecule: long non-coding RNA, 40817 nt
Filed under: Nicotiana benthamiana
Lineage: Eukaryota; Viridiplantae; Streptophyta; Magnoliopsida; Solanales; Solanaceae
Description: long non-coding RNA (NBEN_LNC026769)
Source: RNAcentral
AAGGAGAAAUGUGUUGAAUUGCAUGAGAAAGAGUGACAAUGUGUCUCUUUAGCCCCUUUAAAAGAAGUGAAACACUCAAAAGAGUCGAGAGAAUUGUGCCAAAAUGAAUCAAAAGAAGUGCUUAAGGGAAGAUUGAACCCACUUGAAUAGAAACAUGUCCUUACCCAAAAGCCGUCACAAUGACUCCACAAAAGCCCUAUAUGAUCUUGAGUUGGAUGAUGCUCGCAUUAGUGGUUACUUACAUGAGGGUCAAGCAUGUGGUACUUAGAGCCAGACUUGUUGCCUUUCCAUGUCUGAAACGAGUGAAUUCCCAUUAACCUCGAUUUGUGUGCUUAACUAUAAAAGGCGAGGUUUGCUUAGGGAGAGUUGAGGAUGUUUGAGUUUGGGUUCCACAACGACCAAAGUAAUUGAGAGAGUUCCUUGAUGUAAUGAGUCAAUUUUUUAUGCUCUUAUGUCACACUUGAUACAUGGUUUUUCAAAGUUUAAAUGUGUUAAUAAUGCAUUCAUAUUGAGGGCAAUUGUUAGUCCCAAUUGAUGAAUGUUGAGGUAACUUUAGGAUAAUUUGAAUUACUUGGAUCUUCCUUCAGGGGGUGAGUCUUAUUUUGUUUGCUUGAGGAAAAACAAAUGUUUAAGUUUGGGAGAGUUAAUAAGUCAGGAUUUUUACGUAUUUUAUGCCCCUACUUGCCUAUGCUUUGAUUAUAAAUUGCUACAAAAUAGUCCCAAAAUGCUCACAAGUUGUGCUUGAUUACAGGUUUGAUCGACAAAGUGAACGAAAUGUCAAAGAUUGUCUAAGGAGUGAAACCUACUCAAGUAUCAAAGACCGAGUGAACUGAAGGAAAGAAGGCCUAAUGCGGACCGCACAAAAGAAACUACGGCCACACUAGGAAGUUCAGAGACAAGUCCAAUUUGGGGUUAAGGCUACGCGGCCGCGGUACUCGUUAAGCGGUCCGCGGUGAUGGCUUCGCGGCCGCACUACCUUUUGGUGUGGUCCGCGGAGCAAAUGUUCAGAGAGGUGUGAAUCCCAAGUGUCAAUGCCAUUCGGUCCGAAGUCAUCACCGUGUGGACUGCACCAGAUUCCCUUCGCGCCCCCGGUACACUUCCACGCGAUCUUUGUCCUCCAAUUCAAAGAGGCAAGUAGUUGAGACCAAGAGCCGGUGCAACCGCGGUCCAUUUUGCGCGGCCCGCACUCACCCCUCAGGGGUAUUUUUUUCUAGAUUUUUCAGCCUAGUAUAAAUAGACAAUUUUACUGUUUUAUGUCAGUUUUUGGUAUUCCAUACUUAUAUACGCUCGUGAGACUCGAUUUUAUAGCCCUUUUUGGCACUUUUGCUUUUUAUUAAUGAUAGAUUAUUGUAGUUUCUUCUUAAUAAUUAAUUAAUAUGCUUAGUUCUUCGUCUAUUUCUUUCAUUUCUAUAUCUAGCACUAGUAGCUAAACCCAUUAGCUAGGGUUGUGGCUCAACCCUAGUGUGGGUAAUUGAUGGGUGUUUCCAUCUACGGUAAGAUUGACUAUGGGUAACUGCUAUUUGGGUUGAUUUUAUGUUUUAAUUGAGGAUUGGUGGUUGCAAACACUGAUUCAAGUUUUGUGGGUUUAACCCUUCUUGAGAAAGAGAGUCUAUGACCCCAAAAUUGACCCAACAAGGAUUUGGGAUGGUCUCAUGAGAAAUGAUAUUUCCAAUUAACGGGUUAAAUCUUGAGAGAGUAAUCACCUUACUUGAACCCUAGUUGCUUGGUUUAAUAUACCUACCCAUUUGGUCUCGAGAGAGUAAAUUGGGCAAAAUAACUCUCUCUACCGAGAGGUGUGAGAGAGGGUAAAAUUGCGCAACGGUUAUAGCAUAAGUCCCUACUAUUUCGAUCAAAUCCUAGUUACAUCUACCCAUUAAUUAACCACCUAGGUGAUGUCACGACCCUAGUCCCUUCUUCCCAUUAGAUACAACUUAUCAAUAUUUUCAUAGCAUAAUUAAGUGCUAAUCAUUAGUUUUAUAAAAAUAGUUAUAAUUCAAAAAACCCAAAAAUGAUUGAAGUGACAUUAGAAGUACGAACAUAUCUCUAGAAUAGUCAGAAAAUCCAACUCCGCUACUAGCUCAAUGAGGAAAUCGAUCCUGACCUCUAUUCGGGUAAAGCUAUUGCAACCCGCUCUUCCUACCAUAGUGUAGCGUCGAGUUGGCAGCGAUCACUAGGCAACCAAUAGGUUAUGACUUCUAUAUCUGAAAGUGGUUUAUUUACGCAUAAUCACUUAGAAAUCCUGCUUUAGGACUUUGAUUAAUAAAGACCUUACUUGUGUCUGAGUGGUGCUUCCUGAAUGUUUGUUUGAGGAGGAAUUAUGAGCCUUUUACUUGCUCUAAAGUCCUAGAUGAUUUUUGAUUAUCACCUUAGAUUUUUGCCUUUAAAACCUUAGGGGUACGUCUAGAACCACCUAUAGGUAGAGGUUCUAACUCCCUCCAGGACUAUUAAGAAAGAACGGGUAGCAGCACGCAAUAGGAACUAGUGACCAAACACUCGCUUAUCAUGACCAAUAGGGGAUGGGAAGGGUAGAAAUGGGAUAUGAUGACCACACAUUAAUGCCAUGUGUAGCCCCUCAUCGAGGAGUGCUUACCGGACAUUACAUGGGUUGAUCCUAUAGGACAAACAACCUAGGACCCCUCUUUAUUAAACCCUCUCUUUAUUUAAAACUUUUCAACUGGUUCAAACCUUUAUCUUACUACUUGAACUGUCCAACGUGCUUUACUUGCAACUUAUUUGAUUCAGCUAUUCGGAUGGACUAAUUUUAAAUAUAAGUUUGGUCGGGACCCACAGUUGUGGAUGAAGAGGGGUGCCUAACACCUUCCUCUCGAGGUUAUCUCGAUACCUUACCCUAAUCUUUGGUAACGCAAACCAACCCAAGAGUUAAUCGCUCUAGGUGCCCUAACGUACCAUAAUCCGAUAGGUGGCAACUCUUCAAAUACCCAAUUCCUAAAAGGAGAUGAGUCAUUACACUCCCAUGAAUGACGAAACCCAUACUUCCUCCCUGUGGAGGGAAAAAGGGGGUGCAACAACAUGGAUGCUAGAAGAACGGAUGGAAGAAGUGCAUACACCAACAAGCCAUGUGCGGGAAUUAGAAUAAGGGAACUUAUUUUUGAAGUCCUUAGCUGUAGUAAGCUUUUUGGGGAUAAUGGUUCUCAUAGUAUGAGGAGCAUCAUCAUCAGUACUUUUUCUUUUCUUUGAAAACUGGAGUUUCUGGAAGAGGAGGCCAUAGUUAGCAGAAGCAAGUAAGGGUUUCUAUGAAGAAGAAGUUUAAAAGCAAGAGUGAGUUGAGUAAAGAAAGUUUGAGAGAUUUCGAAAAAUUAUGAAGUGUAAAAGAAGAAGAUUGAAACAUAUAAGUAAGGAAUAGGCAGCUAAAAUCAUGACCAUGACUACCAUGAGAACCGCAAUUGCUGAAUUGUGGGAUGACGCGUGUUUAGGGAAUUAAAUGCAGAAAGACGUACGUCUAAUCAAGCGUCGGAAACUUUUCAGAGGGAAUAAAUGAAUCUUGCCAAUAAAGGUAUCUUUACAAAAUUCCCGAUGACAUAAAGAUGUGCCACUGGAAAUCAGGGGGACUAUAUGUAUAGAGUAAAAUUGGUUCAUAUCAAAUACUCAUAUAAUAUAGCAACACAUGGAAUCAUAGACGGAUGAAAAGCGAGACAAGUUGAAGUCAGGACGGAGCAAUCAAUCUUGGUUGGAACUGGCAAGCCCCUGAAGGGAAUGUUUCUCAUGAAGAUGAAUAAGUACAUGUCACCUAAUAGCAUUUAAUGAAGAAUAUUCUACAAUAUUAAUACAUAGUCCAUUAUUGAGAAUAUGACAUUCAUAGCCUGCCAUACACAUUCUUCAAUGGCCCUUAUAAUUGUCAUUUAAGAGGGGCUUGGUCCUAGGAUCUUGUUCCCUAGGUGCCAAUAUAAAUAGGGAUUUUAAACCAUUGCAGGGACACGAAUUUUCUGACUAACUUAUGAUAUACAAAUUAUUCUAAGCUCAAGAACACUUUAUUUCUUGCUUAUUGUUAUUACUACUAUCUUCGAAAGCCCUACUCCUAGAAUCAAGCUAUAUGCUAUAUCAUCUCGAUUUUAGUGCUAAGUCUUGCAUAUUAUUUAGUUUAUUUAUUAUUUUGGGAUCAAAUUGAUUUGCUUGUCUUUAAAUCACAUAUAAAUUCAACUAUACCAUUUUAUGGGCAAAGAAUACUUUGACGGUGGGGUUGAAAAGAAGAUAGUUGUUGAUGAUAAACCUUUCACCGAGACAAAAUUAUAGUUUGCCGAUGCAAAUUCUACUUAAAAAAUUAUGUCUCAAAGUAGAUUAAGGUUGAUGAAGUGAUGAAGACCAAAAAUAUUGGAAAUAAAGGUGAUAUUACCACUGGUAAGGCAAAGAUUACAGUUGAAAAUCAAGUUUUUUAUGAUAGGAACAAGAUAAACGGGACAUCUUCAAGUAAGAAAGUGACUCAUAUUCUUCACUAUGUCCCAAAAGCAACGAAGGAUGAAGAUUUAUCUUCUGUAUUACAAGGUAAUGUGUUAGGAGGCUUGAUCUUUCCUAUCAAAUGAAUUGUUGUAAUUAAGUCGUCCACAAAGUUUCUUAAAGGGUUUAGAAAAUCAUCAAACCACAAUUCGCUACAACAUCUUGCACUUGGUGCAAGACGCACAUAUGAGGGCUUUGUCCCAAAAUGCCUACAAGUUAUUAGCAAAAGUUGGAUAUGAUCCCAAUGAACCAUCCAACUUAGGAAAGCUCUCACUUGAAGUUUCAAACCCUACUCAAAAGAUGAUGAUGGAGAAUGGGCACCCCUUGAAGCAAUCACAUGAAGGUUUGGGUUACAAACAAACAAUGCCAAUCCGUAUCUCCAUAAAAAAGGCAAGUUGUAACUACAUUACUGCUAGAGAAGAGUCUAUAUCAUUUAAUAAGAAGUCUUUUGUGUUUGAUCGACUUACAAAACUGAAGACCUUAGUAUUUGAUAGAUGGGACCAUUGAAUAAGGAAGACAAACGCAAUGGAAAUAAUUGAAGGAUCAAAGCACCUAUCUUUGCUAAAAAGUAGAUGUCAACCACAAACAACCUGAGGUCUAAUUCCUUCUAGAAUGAGGCGAGAGACAAAGCAUGUAGUUUCGUACGGACAGGUCCUCCAAGAAAAGUCUCAUGCUAUUGUCAUUAAUGCAUCAUCUUGUGUAUGGUCAUCAUAUCAUAUCAUCAGUAUAUCAUAUCAUCAUUAGUGUGUAUGGUCAUUAUAUCAUAUCAUCAUUAAUGAUGAACAAAAUGCUUCAUCUUGUAUGAAAGUCGAGGAAAAGUGGCUUGAUAUUCAUGUAUGUUAUCACAUAUCAUUCGAUGAUGGUGAUACUCAGGAGGAUAAAAUGCUAAAGAUGCACCAUCUGAGCUUGAAGAAAGUUAAAACCAACGAUUGAUGCACUAAAUUGAAGUCAAUCUCAGAGAUGUUGAAGAUCUAAGGCCUACAUAUGCAAGUGUCUCUCUAGCUGGAGAUGAAGAUAUAAAAUAUAUUGAGCUACUUAAGGAGUUCAAAAGAGGUGCUCAUCAUGUGAAGCAAGUACAACGUUUCAUCAGACUUUGAACUACUUCCGUUGAUUGAGACCAAAUUUAACAAGCUUAUCCAACAUGGAUUUCAAGCAAUGUCCCUGUAAGAAAGAAGAAUGGCCAAAUCAAUGUUUGUGUUUACUUUAGGGAAUCAAAUAACGCUUAUCCUAAGCAUGAAUUUCCUCUUCCCAUCCCGAAGCUCAUGAUUUAUGCCACAAUUGGAUAUGAGGCGAUGUCUUUCAUGGAUGGUUUGUUUGGAUUCUAUCAAAUUCUCGUGGUACUAAAAGAUGAAGAACUUACGACUUUCGCACCCCUAAAUAUAUAUACUGCUACAAGGUAAUGCAUUUUGGUUUGAAAAAUACUGAUGCUACAUAUCAAUGUGCCAUGCAAAAUAUUUUAGACGAAAUGCUUUAUAAAAAUGUGGAGUGUUAUGUUGACUAAUUGGUGGUAAAGUCAAGGAAGAGAGAUGAUCACUUACAAGAUUUGAGGAUGGUAUCCGAACGGCUUCAGAGAUACUAACUCAGAAUGAAUCCACUGAAGUGGGCCUUUGGAGUUACUUCUGAAAAGUUCCUCGGUUUUAUUAUUCGACAUCGAGGUAUCAAAAUUGAUCAAGCUAAGGCGGAUGCUAUCUUGAAGAUGACCGAACCUAAGGAUAAAAAUCUUACAUGGUAAGUUGGCAUAUUUUAGAAGAUUUACUUGGAAUCUAGCUGGAAGAUGCCAAACUUUUAGCUGCCUUAUGAAAAGAAGGGGUUCCUUGAUCAAGCUUGUAGAUAUGAUUUUGAAAGCAUCAAGUCCUAUCUGAUGAAGACACCACCAUUGGCGACUCCCAUACCUAGAAAACCAUUAAUAUUAUACAUUUCAGCACAAGAAAGGUCAGUAGGAGCACUUUUGGCUCAAAGAAACAAUGAAGGCAAAGAAAAUGAACUUUUAUUACUUGAGUAGGAUGACGACACCAAAUGAGCUCAAGUAUUCACUAUCAAGAAGUUAUGUUUGGAGCUUGUCUUCUUUUUUCAUAAGUUGAUGCAUACUUUCAAACUAACAUUUUGCGACUCAUCUCAAGAGCAAAUCCUAUCAGGUUUUUAAUGUCUAAACCUAUCCGAAGUGAUCGAUUAGAAAGGUGGUACCUCCAAUUUGAACAAUCUGAAAUUGUGUAUGUUCCUCAUAAGGUAGUAAAAGGACAAGUACUAGCAAAUUCAUAGGUAACCAUCUGAUUCCAGAUGAUUGGGAGUUGACUGAUGAAUUUCCUAAUGAAGAUGUAAUGGUCAUCGAAAUUCAACCUCCUUGGAAGAUUUAUUUUGAUGGCGCUACACAUCAUGAAUGAGUUGGAGUUGGAAUAGUUUUAACCAUAUUCUUUCACUCUGACACAACAUUUCUCCUAAUGUUGUUUUAUAUUAAACAAUUGUAACUACAAGUUUUGUAGACUUCAAGUUAUUGAUCAAUCUAAUUUUGGGUAGCUAUGAGAUCAAGAAGCUAGAGUAGGUCCCAUAUAACAAAUAUGCCUAUGUGCGGUGAAAACCGGAGAACUAAUCCCCCCCAAAGUGAUAUUUCAGAGAAUGGCCCUGGAAGCACGGGAUCUCGAGUCGAUCGCCUCCCUCAAAACCCGCCGAUGCCUUGCCAAGAAUGAACAUAUUCUAAAAACCUGACAAAUGCGAGAAUCCCUCGAAGAGUGCAUCCGAAGUCGAUCAGAUCUAGUCAAGCAGUUCGGUGCUAGCCCUCACUUGAUGUGAAUCUAAUGGACUGUCACAUCCCGUCUCUUUUUGUCAUGUCAAAAGAUUUUAUACUAAGUUUGGGUAUCCCCUUUUCUAUAAAAAGGGGGUCACUAGCACCUUGUAUGCUAGAGCUCCACUUGACCACGAAAAGAAAUAAUGUCUUCUCUCUCUUUCUAAUUUGUUCAUUCUCCUUAGUUCGAAGUAAUUUACGUUCAAUCCUCCUUUUUAUCAUUUGGAAUUGGCUCAAAGCCACCCUUAUAUCCCGUGUGUUAACCUACUCUUUAUUAUAUAACUCAAUACUGGCCGUAAGAAGCCUUACUUAAUCAACUUUCUUCUUGUUAUCCAUUCCCGACUGUCCCCGAUAUCUCGAUAUCAACUCUAUUAUCGACCCCGAGGCCUUCAUCGAUCCGCUCCAUGCUCAGGCAACGGGCCCCUUCGGUUUGCUUACUGCCUCUAUUUAACUCGUAUUUUAUCAUUAUACUGCAUAGUCUUAAUACAAACUGCCCUAAAAACUAGCUCGAGAAUAGAUUACGUAUUUUUAGAAUCCUGUUUAUAAAUUUAAUUGUUGUUUCCAUUUUUACGAUAAACAGUUUGGCACCCACUGUGGGGCUUAAAAUAAUAGUGAUUAUUUUCUUGCUAGUUCUAUCACACAAACAUGCAUUAUCUUUUCACACUUUUCUUGUCCAAGAUCCUUCUUAUUUUAGGCUAAAAUAUCCAACUCGAUAAACAGAGCCGAAAAUAACAACCUCGAAAACCACGGGGAGAAUGGCGUGGCUGUACCGCCCGCUAGAGCACCUCUACCGAAUCCUGAUAUCACCCCCGGACCGAUCCAAGCGGACGCAGAUUCUGAGGUCGCACAACCAGUCAAUGAAACCUCUCAUACUAAUAUGAGCGUAAGACACGUCGACCAACAGGAAGCACAAAAAAAUCCGGCCCAGGAAGAAUAAGAAGUUAGUCUUCACGUUAUGUUCGAGAUGUUGCAGGCACAACAAUUAACCAUCGCUCAGCUACAAAGCCACCCAAGGACCGCCAGCACAGCGGCACUAGAGACGGCUCCCCCCGUCGAGCAAAUACUAGAAAUGUCAAGCAACAACGGAUCAGUAGCCGAUCCCUCCAUUGUCAAAAUGCUCGAGGACCUCACCUAAAGAAUCAAUUUAGGAGAGAAAAUGAUUGCAGCCAAUGAUAAACAUGUCGAGACCUACAACUCCAGGGUCGAUCAAGUCCUAGGUGCGCCCCUAGUCCUCAAAGGCUUGGAUUUAAAGUUCAUUCAAAGGCCGUUCCCCGAGGAAGCGGCCCCAACACCCAUCCUGAAAAAGUUUCCCGAAACUCCCUAAGUACAAUGACACCUCCGACCCUAAUGAACACGUCACUACUUAAACCCGUGCAGUAAAAGGCAACGUCAUAAAAAACAACGAGAUCGAGUCUGUAUUAUUGAAAAAAUUUGGAGAAACACUUUUAAAUGAGGCCAUGAUGUGGUACCACAACUUGGUUCCCAACUCCAUAGAUUCACUUGCCAUGCUGGAAGACUCCUUCGUAAAAGCACAUGCCAAAGCCAUCAAGGUAGCAACAAGGAAAUCCGACAUUUUCGAAAUCAACAGAAUCGGGCUUGAUCGAAACAUGGCACCGAUGAACGCACCCCACUUGUCGGAAUACAACUUCAGUGUCGAUGUAUUUGUGUUUGUAAUCAGCAAAAUCAGGGAUGCCAAGUGGCUUAGACCAAUAGAGUCGGACCCGUCACAGAGGAAUUACAACUUAGUGUGACGGUUCCACAAUACACACGGUCACAGAACCGAGGAUUGCCAUUGAAUGCGAGAAGAAGUGGCCCAACUAAUCAACAAAGGGAACAUUCAGGAAUUACUUAGUGAUCGAGCCAAAAAUCAUUUCCGGGAAAGGGAGGAGACCAAGAAAAAUUAGGCAAACGAGCCAUAACACGUCAUCCGAAUCAUCAUGGGAGGCACCGCCACCCUGUAGGAGCCCAUGAUAAGGAAAAAAAAUAUUCAUCACCAGGGAAAAACAUACUCGAGGAUAUAUCCCCGAAGACGCCCUCACAUUCAGUGAAGAAGACAUCGAGACUCUAUCUCAACCCCACAACGAUGCCCUGGUAAUCUCUUUCCUUGUAAAUUCUUUUCAGAUAAAAUAUGUACUAGUAAACCUAGGUAGCUCGGCCAAUAUUAUUAGGUCAAGAAUGGUAGAACAACUCGGGCUAACUGCACAGAUCGUCCUGCCACUCGAGUCCUUAAUGUUUCAAUAUGGCAAGCGAGACAAUGAAAGGGGAAAUCAUCCUUCCAAUUACCGCGGCCGGCACAACCCAAGACACUAAAUACCAUGUAAUCGAAGAAGAUAUGAGAUAUAAAGACUUGUUUGGGUGACUAUGGAUACACUGUAUGAGAGCAGUACCAUCUACUCUCCAUCAGAUGAUAAAAUUCCCAACAAAGGACAGGAUAAAAACUGUCUGUGGGGAGAAACAUGUGACAAGAUAAAUGUUUUCCAUACACGAUGUGCUGGAGGCGCCCGUGCCUAUGCUCCUAAAAGAACCAAUGGGUGAAUAAUACAUCGGCCCCGGUUAGGUUUGACAAAAGUGAAAUCUUCAUCACGUGUCCACCCUCGGGAAGAUAUAAUUAGCCGACCCCGAGGCACCGUCGUCCUGCCUCACUUUAAGGUACGUCCAUUUCUUUUAUUUUAUUUAAGAAUAAGAACAAUCCCCCAUGCAGGCACCCGAGAGAUCGGGAGACUAAUACUAUUAGAGGAAAUCGAGACCCCAAUAGCACACUUGUUGGACUCUUUUCCUUCGACCGAAUUUUUUUAUCCCAGCAAAAGGAAAGGGUUUUUACCGACAAAGCUUUUAAUGAGGCAAAAACGACAAAACUUCUUAAAGGGGAAAACUCCAUAGGGUUGAUCAAAUCCACCCUAACAGCCAACUUACGAGCAGCGAGAGGCAUUCCCCUUGGGAGCCCCCCAAUCCAAAGGAAAUGGAUAAAUGCCAAAGCAAAGGUUCCUACGAGAAGACAACUAGGGCCAAACGAUCAAUAUAAACAAAACUCGCCGGAGCGGAUGCAUGUACUAUUUUCGUGUAAUCAAUCAAAAACUAUCCAUUUUUUCUCCUGAGAAAGAAAAGUAAGGCUCCCUCUAGAAGUAAAAAAAAUCAUCAACGCAACCAUAUUCGACGAAAAAUAAGCCGAUCCAGCACAAAUAGCACGCAUACUAUGCUGAUGAAUCAGAGAAUAUCAUCCAGAAUCUCAUUUCCCAAAAAGCGGUAUUCAAGGUUAAACAGAUUCGAUAUACUCAUAGACAUAAACGGUUCAGCAACCCUACGACCCCAGGGUUGGCACUCCUGGCUCACAAAGCCCUCGCAAUACAACUCCAAGUUUAGAGAAGGUGGGAUUCAAGCCUAAACUGAUCGGAUAUACUCAAACACUCAAUGUAAGAAAUACUAAAUAAAUUGAAUAAAACCAUGGACAGAGCUCCAGGCUCAUCAAGCCCCUGGAAGGCAACUCCGAGCUCACGAGAAGCUGUCUUCAAGCUUAUACAAACUCGACUACUCAGAGACUGCUAUCAAUCGCCAUACAAUUGGAAAAUCCAAAACUGUAAGACCCUAACGGGAAGCCUCAUCAUAAACAGAUAUAUUCUACAAACUGUAAGACCUCAGCAGGCAUGACAAAAUGUAAGACCUCAACAGGCAUGACAAACUAUAAGACCUCAACAGGAAUGACAAACUUUAAGACCUCAACAGGUAUGAUAAAACUAUAAGACCUCAACAAAACUAAAAAUCUUGAUAUUUAGGCUACACAUCAAAUUUAAAAGAAUACCUAAAGGGAAUACCCUCGACGUUGAUGCCUAAACUAUCACUAAGGGAUCAAAAUUGGCUACAGCCAAACACAUAUGACUACGGUUGAAACGACUGAUACAACCCAAAUAACGCGACUUAGGGAUGCCCGACUGUUGCUAAAAAAUCGUAGGCCAUUACUCCGAUAUACUUCAAAACGAACCGGCUAAAACAAGCUUCCCUCCAUAGGCAAAAAUGAGGCCUGACAAUGUCAGCUCCGAAAAUGCAAAAGUGUUGAUCUACUCGACCUAUGAGCUAUGAACCUUAUGUGGUACUCAAAUCAUCGCUGAUAACGACUUAAAAUCGAGGUUCCUCAAGAAUUGAUGACGGGGCAUGCAAAAUACUACAAAAAGACCUUAGUUAUUGGAUACAAAGACCACGGGCAAUAAAAUAACGUAAGAGCCAUUAUCGCCAGCUAAGAAAGCCUACGGGCCACAUACUGAAAGGUCUCUACAACCAAACAACGCAAGAGCAAUUGUCUCCAACUAAAAAUCUUGACAACAUGAGGAUUAAAAUGAGCUCAAAUGGAAUAAGUGCCAUCGUUGCCAGAAAUUCAAUAAACUUGAAGGGUCAAUCAAAGUUCAAAUCGCAAUGCGAUUCGGAGACGGGACCUAAAUAUUGCAAUACGCCUACGAGCGCAGCAUAACUGCUAAUGUCGCUAGACUCGCAAUGAGAUUUAAGGUCGAUUACAGCUUGGAUCACAACUCGACUUGGAGACUGGACCUAGAAAUUUCGAGACAGCCAAGGGCGAGGAAUCAAAGCCACCAACGUCAGCCAAGGAAUCGAAGGAACUUUAGGGUUGAUUAUAGCACAAGUCGCAAUGUGACUCAGAGACUGGGCCCAAGAUAGUUAAAACACAGUGUGCCCGCAAGGUCAAAUUCAACUAAGAGCAAGAAGGGCCAUCAUCGUCCGCCCAUACAGGAAGGGAAGAGCUUGAAGAUUAAUUGAAGCUCAAGGUCACCGUACAACUCAGAAACAAGACCCAAAAUAAUUGAAUUGCAGGAUGCUUAAGGGCACGACUCUCAGGAAACCUUCAUCUAUGGAUUAAAUUUCCAGGUCACGUAUCAAGCGGGUCACUUCGACCCGAAGCAUAAAAAGCCACCAACAUUUGCCCAUGCGGCUGGGAUAAAUACCGAAGAUCAACUGCAACACGGGUCACUAUAUGACUAGACCUCAAAGACAGCUAGUAACGACAAAAUGCCCAAAGAGAGAAGAUGAAAACAACAACUAACUGCCCGCAGGGGCACAAAGAAAUCAAGGAACAGGAAAAGCCAAAGUUAAAGCACAACUCGGAGGCCAAGCCGAAGCAGCCCGGCCAAAUGCGAAAGUAUGGAAACUCAUUCAUAUCAAAAAUUGCGCCUAAGAACCUUCGACCAACUCCGAGCCUACAAGGAUCCCACCUGAUACCAAAAUCGGCCCGCCUGGUGAGAACAAAGAACAAAGGAAAAGGUACCAAAAUUACAAAAUUACAAAUUCCUUCUUACAUAUUGCGUGCGCAAAAAAGGGGCACACUCUCCAUCUACAGGCAUACUCCGCGAGCAUCAGAAACAAAGUGACAAAAUGGCAAAAUCAAAAGUCCACACCAAACAAAGCCACAUCUUGCAAAACUUUAUUAUAGUCCACAAGAAAUAAUCAAGUGCCACGGUUAUUCUCUUUGCUCAAUCUUAUUCCUCUAGGACAGCGAAAUCCCGUGCCAACACACUCGAGUACACGUCUUCAUAUCUACGAUAGACACAUUCCUCGACUCCCUGCCCUCGGUCCAAGGCUCACUCCAAUCUAGCAUGGAUGUCAGCGGCACUCCUCUUGCGAAUUAACAGCUACCGACCCACCUUGAUUCAGCUUAAUGUCACUUCAGCCCAAGUCUCAUAAUUAUCUCGACCCUAAACAUCAAAAUCUAGGGUUUUCCAGUAAUACCCGACCGAUCUUUAACGCUGAAACAACGGGAGUCGGGUCUCAAGGGACAAAGACCUUAUCCGAGGCAUCCGCCCCUCCAAAGCAUAAGUCUACACUUGAGCUCUUAGCUCCCCGCGAACCACUGUGGCGAAAUCAACAUCGCCCUUAAGGUAGUAAAAAAAACCUCCAUUCUUUUUCUGCAGUUGAUAUAAACGGAAGGUGGGGAGGCUUAUAAAAGGGGCGAAGCACACAUUGCAUAAGGCCACCUACUCCAUAAAAUAGAUCCUAUAUUUUAGUCCCAUCGCCGGUUAUAAAGAGCCCCAGAGGCACCCAGCUUAGUCAAUGCAUUCUCUUCAGAAGUGUAACGUGGCCUCGCCUUGAUAAAAGGCUCCGACAUACCACAUAUCUCAUUAUCAAUACCGCCGCCUGAAGAUCUACAGCCCCAAGAGGAGGCGCAUAUGUACCCCUAUGGGACCAUCCGACAGCAAAAAUGCCCUCAACAGAGAAAGUAAAGAACAAUUGCCGAAUUCACCAUUAUCGCUGAUAGAACCAGCGAAGCACAAGGCACGCAGCCCAAAGGACAUCCAUUCGUCCCUAUAAACAUCUGCCGAGGGUAUCAAUGGCACAACGCUAAUUCCUGGAAGUAACAACUUGCAUGGGCCCGAUCUCCACAUUCACCAAAAUAUGUAGUCGUUAAAGGUAGAUCCCGACGACCCCCAAGGAUGCAAAAGCAAUCAAGGACACCGGCCAUCAGUGUCGUAUCCUGCGCCGAUGUAAUAGCCAACCUCGGAAGUCCUCAUCACGGUAAAGAAAAGCUUCUAAAGGCCAGCAACGCCUUCACCAAAAAAAAGUCGGCACACAAAGGCCUCCACCAAAGAAAGACGGCCAGUAGAUGCAGUUGCUUCCUAACAAAUGCUCGUAAGAAACAUCCCCCGGAUAUUGGUCGAGAUGAUCCUAUCGCAGGCGAAUCUCAUCCCUGAGGCUGCAUUCGGCAAGCCACAAGUAGCCCUAAACAUGCCACCCCUUGGUCGCGCCUCCUCUAGAGGGUCAUCACAAAGUUCAAAGACAUCGCCCUCGCCUUUAUGAUAAUGACCCGACAUCCUAGUGUUACUGUUCUCAUUUUUGGCCGGGACACAAGAAACCCUACGUAGAGCCAUUCUAUCUAUCAAAAAGCUCCACAAAGGUACUAAGUGAGCGACCAAGCACAAACAAAGGUCAAUCCUAUACAUUAUGGAUAGGGGAUGUCUACAUCAAAGACUAACAGGGAUCCCGGAUACUCGAAAGCAAUUUUCAUCCAAGAUAAUAUCCCUAAAGGUCCCGGAAUUGAACGCAUGAUAUCCGAGUAUCUUCGGGGGGAGGGGAAUAGCCCAUACCUAUUAGAGCAAAUACUCGCACCCGAGUAAGAUGUCGAUAGUAUGGGAGUAAAAGGAAGCAUUCAAAGAUCCUCAGAGGGCAUGAGAACAUUCAAAAAAAAAAAUCAAAGUAAGGAAAGUAGAAUUCUGAAGGAGUUUAUUAAAAUUCAUAGGAGAUACAUGAACAACAACCCUAAAGGGGUCCUUGCACAUGAUUAUAAAGGCCUGCAAGGGGGACAUUACACGUAAGAAAAAUUUGAAGAUAUGCAUUCAUCGAAAACCUAAGGGUCUAGCCUACUUUUCUGCGACAUCUUUGUCGUCAUCCCUUCCGGUGCAUGACCUAAAAGACAAUAUCAUCCAAGUCCAAGGCCCUCGGGGACCCCGCUUAGAUUACUUAGAAUGGCAUCAUCUAAAGGGAGAGAAGUGGGGGAAGGAAAAAAGGAAGUGGCUCGGUGAAAAUUCAGGCUGUAGAGAAACCCGCCGAUAUUAAUACCGCUAGACCACUUAUUGAGACGUUGCCCUGGCUCAGAAGGCAACUGCAGUAGGAAGUACCACCGCAUCCCUCAGGAUUCAAAAAUGGGUACAAUGCGCCGAGCUGAGGGAAGAGGGUGAGCAACGGUGUAUAAUCUGAGCUCCCACUUGAGCAACGGUGCAUAAUCCAAAAAGAGAAGCAGUAGUAACAGCAACAACAACAAUAUCAUGGCUGUACGAGUUCGUCCAAUAAGAAAAGAGAUCAAAGAAAGGGUCAUGGCACAUAUAACGUAAAAUCUUAAAGCCUGGGGCCUCGAACACAGCGAGAUGAUGGAACUUCAAUGAAGUAGAGCAGGAACGAGAGAUAGGUAUCAAAGAAAGUGAGAGUAAGAAAGGUAACCAAAAAUAGCCCAAUUUAUAGGGGGAGCAAGGAAACCGACGACUCCAUUACCAUCCUCAAAAAAUGUAAUGGCAGGCACAAUCAAUGAACAUGUACUAAAAACCCCGUCGAUGCCUUUCCAAGAAUGAACAUGUACUAAAGACCCGACGAAUGCGAGAAUCCCUCGAAGAGUGCGCUCGGAGUUGAUAAGAUCUAUUCAAGUAGUUUGGUGCCAGCCCUCACUAGACGUGAAGCUAACGGACUGUGACAUCCCGUCACUUUUUUUCAUGCCAAAAAAUUCUAUACUAAGUUUGGGCAUCCCCUUUUCUACAAAAAGGGAAUCACUAGCACCUUGUAAGCCAGAGCUCCACUUGACCACGAAAAACAAUAAUAUCUUCUCUCCAUCUUUCUAGUUUGUUCAUUCUCUUUAGUUUGAAGUCAUUUAUGUUCAAUUGUCCUUUUUAUCAUUUAGAAUUUGCUCAAAGCCACACUUAUAUCCAUGUCUCUUAAACUACUCUUCAUUAUAUAGCUCAAUAUUGGCCGUAAGAAGCCUUACUUAAUCGAAUUUCUACUUCUUAUCCCUUCCCCAAUUGUCCUCGAUAUCUCGAUAUCGACUCAAGACUCGGACAUAAGGCCUCCAUCAAUCCACUCCGUGCUUGGGCAAUGGGCCCCUUUGGUUUGCGUACUGCCCCGAUUUAAUUUGUAUUUUAUUGUUUUACUACAUAGUCUUAAUACAAACUACCCUGAAAACUAGAUCGAGAAUAGAUCACGUAUUUUUAGAAUCCCAUUUGAAAAUUUAAUUAUUGUUACCAUUUUCACGGUAAAAAAUUUCCAAAGACUAGUAAGGUGGCUUGGAGAGGUAACUAUUUAACACGUGACGAGAAAGGAAAAUAAGAGAGCUGAUGAACUAGAAGCCUUAACUUUUGUAUUAUCUUUUACUGAUUAAAAGCAAAUCAUUGUUUGCCAAAGAUGAGUCUUUCCUCUAUCAAAUGACUACAAAGAAUAAUAAAGCAAAGUUGAGCAUCUUGCUACCAUUCUUGAGGUCGAAAUUGAAGAUUGGCAACAACCAUCAAUCGAUUAUCUUUGUUAUGAGAUAUUGCCGGAAAAUCCCCCAAGAAAGGAAUCAAUUGAAAAGAGAUCCCUCGCUUUAUUUAUUACAAAUAUAAAUUCUAUAAACGAUCAUUUGAUGGAGUGCUCGUACGUUGUCUGGGGUGCUGAUGAGCCUUUUCAAGCCCUGUAAGAAGCACAUAUUGGAGUAUGUGGCGUGCAAUAUUAUCUAUCAUUUUGAAUUUCCUUGAUAUAUAUAUUAACGGACAAUGGUAAGCCAUUGAUAACAAGUUGUUGAAUAAAAUAUGUGAUCUCUUUGCUUCAAGAAACGAAAUUUCUCUAUGUAUUAAGCCACUGCCAAUGGACUUCCUGAAGCAUUUAACAAGACGAUCUGCAACUUGUUGAAAAAAGGUUGUCUUGAAGUCUAAGAGAGAUUGGAAUGAGUUAGUAGAAGAAGAUCCUUGGGCAUACAGGACCACAUAUCACACACCAAUACAAGAGACCCCUUAUCCACUUGUUUAUGGUGUUGAAGCAAUCCUUCCACUUUAGCGUCAAAUUCCAUCGUUGCGGCUUGUCAUUAAAGAAGGACUCACUAAUGAAGAAAAUGACUGGUUAUGCCUUGACGAAGUGGAACCUCUUGAUUAAAAGAGGCUAGAAGCUCAAAAAACCUUUAAAAUUAUCAAGCUCGCCUAUCUCAAUCAUUUGACAAAAGGGUGUGCCUUAGAUCUUUCCAAGUGGGUGACCAAGUUAUUGUGGCAAAAAGGCCUAUUAUUACAUCAUUCAAUCUAGAGAAAUAUACUCAAGUGGCAUAUAAAAGAUCGUUGACUCAUAAGGUUUGCGGAUUGGCCCCAUCAAUGGGAAAUUCAUGAAGAGAUACUAUUUGUGAAGAAAACAAAUAUGCUCUUUAACGCACGAGCAUAAACUACAUGUUACUCCUGGCCCGCAAGAGUAUAGACUGUGCACAGUCCAAAAUAAAAGGUCUACUAGGUUGAAAACAUCAAAAGAGCUGGCCUAAACAAAAGUUAGGACACUUAAAAUAAAAACUCACCAAUUUCGAACUACGAUAUGACUUGAUCCUCUUCAUCGAGGUACAUAGGUAGCUUAGAGUUUCACUCUAUGUUCAGUCAUAUGAGUUCAAAUAUACAUAUUACCUAAGGAAAUAUUUGAAUGAAGUAUGAUGAAAUAUAAUUCAUUGAUUGACACUUGAAAAUUAGGUGUACAUGUAUUCUUUUGCUGAACUCUCUGUCUUAUCAGAUAUUGAUGGCUCAAUGUGGGCAAGCCCUCCAUGUCAAAUUGAGGUGUCUGAUGGAAUGAUUGUUGUCUUUUUGUAAGAGACAAAAUAUUUAAUUUGAAGUCUCCAAUUCUAUGUCAAGUUGAUUUUGGCAAGUCUUUUGCGUCACCAAUUUGAUGUAUUCAAGCCUGUUAGAUCUUAAAGUUGCACUCUUCAAGUCCGUUAAGUCUUCAAAUCCAUAAAGUAGCUCACUUAUUAUGAAUCACAUAAUGACUUGAUCCUCUUCACCGAGCUACGUAGGCAUCUUAGAGUUUAUUCUAAGUUCAGUCACCUUAAUAAAAAGAAAAGUGAGGUUUCUUUAUAAUACGUGGCUACCAAGUCCUAAUCAUGGAAGCACAUAAAUUUAAAGGAAAGUAAGAGCAAAAGGGAACAUUAAUGUGAAUGUGCAAUAUAAGGUGAAAUGAAAUAAGUUUUAUUGUUGAUGAGAACAUAUACUAAUCAAUCAAAUGUGAAAUGAAAGAGAAAAACAAAUAAAUGGUGUUUAUAGCCUAAUAUAAACACAACUUUUAGUUGGAAAAAUCCUUAAGCAUAAAUUCUAAAUAUUCCUUCCUCUCCAAAUCGGCCAAGUCAUCAUCAAUCAACAAGGCAACAUUGCAGUAUACGUCGUAAACCUUUCUAUUUAUUGAUCGUCCUAACUUGACUUCUUUAACUUCUUUUUCAACAAUUUCUAAAAGGGCUUCUAAGUUAUUCUCUUUUUCAUUAAGAUUCUCUAUCUUCUCUUUCACUAAAACUAGGUACUAACAGAUAGAUGACACUUCUUUAUCAUUCUUUUCUUCAUCAAUCAUGGAAUUUGUAUGGUGCACCUCAACUUUUGAUAUUGCAGUCUUCUCAACCUUUUCGGAUAAAGCAGAUCGUGUCGUGUCGUAUGAAUCAACAAUCUCAAAAAGGGACUUGAGUAAGUUUCUCCAAGGGGAAUAUCCACAUUAUCCCUAUCCAUUGCCUCAUAGAUAAUUAACUGUUCUCUUUCAAGCUCAGAGACCUUGUCUGCAUCACAAUCUUUCAGCUUACGCUCUGGAUCAAAGUCCAAAGCUUCAAGAUGAACUCCUUUCUAAUUUCCAAUACAACAUUCUAUCCAUCAAAAAAUAGAUGCUACAACUAUUGAUUGUUCAUGAAAAUCAUAGCCCAACUUUUCCCUAAUUCCAUCAUGAGAAACAGAAAUUGCCUCUUGAUAUGCCUUAGAUGUAGAAGAUGAUAUAUGCGAGUCCGAUCUUAGUAUAGCUUCCGCAGAAGCGGAUCCGCUCAUGCAAACGGUAACUGCAGAAGCGAAAAUUGGGAAUGUUAAUAAAACUGCAGAAACGACUCGUGGUUCGCAUGUGCGGGACCGCAGAAGUGGAAAGCAUUGUUAUGAAAAAGGGAACUCCGAGCUUUUAUUUCAAAAGUUAGAGAAAUCAAAAUUUAGCUCGAGAGAAGGCGAGUUUGGGUGGAUUUCGAAGGCAAGAUCAGUGGGUAAUGUUUCCUUAACCUCAUUUAGUUUUCUUUCGUUCAAUAUCUAUUUAAAUCCAUCAUUAGAAUUCGAAUUCAAGGUCAAAUUUGGGGAAAUUGGAUGAAACUUCUUUGACUUAAUUAUUGUAUUUUGAGUGGGCAUUUAACCUCCGAUUUAGGAUAUUUUUAUAUGGUUAGACUCGUGAGAGUACGAGGGUUCUGAAAAUGUGAAAGUUAUUUGAUUCUGAGUUGUUGGUCUGAGGGGCGUUUUCGUUGUUUUACCUAUUUUCACGCCUUACCUAUAAUUUUAAUAGUGGAAUUAGUUACUUGUGAUGUUAUUUACGUUAUGUAAUUGGAUUGAAUAGAUUUGGGCCAUUCGAAGUCGGAUACUCGUGGCAAAGGCAUUGUUCCUAGUUGAUUUUUGUACUGGUUCGAGGUAAGUGGCUUGUCUAAGUUUGCGUGGGAGACCUCUCCCCUUUGGAUGUAAUACUUGUUAGUUUAAAUGCCUUGUACGUGAGGUGACGAGCGUGUACAUGGGCGAAUUGUUGAAAAUCCGUUCUACUUAGAAUAUUUAAAUUGUGUUUUCCUGCGUAUUUGCCUAAUCUAUAUGCCAUUUAACCUGUGUUAGCUUAAGAAAAUCAUGUUUAGCUAACUUACUUGCUUAUUUUCCUAAACUAUAUUAUCUGUCCUCCGUGAAGCAUGCUAGACUAGAAAUUCUAUUAAUUUUUCUUACUUAUAAUGAUAUAAUAUUUGAAUUGUUGUGAUGUGUUUACAAUUUGGGACUAUGGGAUGGCAUCCCGGAAGUUUCCCCUACACGUGUUACAUUCUAAGACUGAGAGUGCGGGACACCAAGAGAUCCCUGCACAGAUAUGACUAUAAAAUAGAGGAUACCGAGAGAUCCUCGGGAUACUAAGAGAUACCUUGUGUAUAUAUGGAGGAUACCAGGAGAUCUUCGGGAUACUAGGAGAUCCCUCGUGUAUAUGAUGAGGAUACUAGGAGAUCCUCGGGAUACCAGAAGAUCCCCAAUGAUAAAUAUCCGGUACUGAUUUAUACUUCUAUUUAUUUACUGUGUUGGUUCUCGGUUACUGUCUUGUAUAUUAUCUUGCUAGAUUCUCAUAUUAGAUAAUAUCCAUGUUGUAUUUUCCUUAUCAUAUGAGAUUAUUAUGUUUUUAUCUCAGCAGGGACUCAACCUUCCUCGUCACUACCCGAUCGAGGUUAGCCUUGGCACUUACUGAGUACCGCUGUGGUAUACUCACGCCUCUUUUGCACAUGUUUUCCAUGUGAAGACCUAGGCACUUCUUCCCAUGCGUAUCAUCAUCGAAGCGGAAAGCACUAGUGGAGACUCGAGGUAUAUAUUCUACGUCCCCGGUCUCGAAGUCUCUAUUUCUUUCCAGCUGUAGCAUAUAGCCCCCUUUUAUUAUGUUUCUUUAGAUACUCUGGUGUAGAGCAUAUUAUGCUACUCUUUUAGACUAUGUUGCCCGUGAGAUUUCGGGUCUUUUUUUGUCUAGAACAACAAAAUCAAGAGGAGCAGAGCGAACAAAAUCCGCUUUGGGGUGAAUUCCCUCCCCUGAAGUUUGCGCUAAUUGAACCCUAGAUAGCUGACUGAAGACCAAAGCAAUCUCCUUUCUAGUCUAGUCGGGGAUGUUGGAUUGCGCUUUCUAUUUAAAGCAGUGUGCAUCCUUGCAUCAGAGGUCAGUUUCGGGGUGGGGAGCGACGAGAGACCAGGAUGGUUUCAGAAUUCUAAGUGUUAAAGUGUAUGUGCCAGGCGGCAACUUUAUACAUUUCUUAUGUUAUUUGGCGUUUAGUUAUUAAUUUCAUAAAGGUUGUAAAUUCCGCAAUGUUACAGGCUUACCUAGUGGGGAAGACUAGAUACUUGUCCUGACCCUAGUUCACCAAUAUCAUAAUCCUUUUGUAGCUCCAACCAUCUCCUCUAGCACAAGUUUAGAUUUUUAUGCUUGAACAAGUGCUGUAAACUCCGAUAAUCUGUGUAUAUCUCACAGGGCACGAUGUACAAAUAAUGCCGCCAGAUCUUCAAGGCAUGAACAAUAACAACUAACUCAAGGUCAUGGGCAGUGUAGUUCUUCUCAUUUAUCUUCAGCUGUCUGGACGCGUAGGCAACCACCCUAUUGUCCUGCAUCAACCCCGCUCCAAGUCCGACCCAUGAGGUAUCACAAUAAACUAUGUAGGACCCCGAACCAGUAGGCAUAUCAGAAUAGGAGGUGAAGUCAAAGCUGUCUUGAGAUUUUGAAAGCUCGCCUCUAACUCAUAUGUCCACUUAAAUGGAGCACCCUUCUAGAUCAAUCUAGUAUAACGGAUGUCAUACUCUGAAACGGUCAUAGCACCCUGGCGCAAAUGCUCAAACUCCACGUGCCAUGCGUCCCUGAGGCUCUGGGAAACAAACUCCCUCUAGAACAUAUCUAAAAACUGUGCCCAGGACAGAGAGAAGGGUUAUGCGGACAGGAAGGUUUGUGAUGUUUCCUUUAUGGUUGAUGAUCGGGCUCAUCUUCGGGUCUCUCCUAUGAAAGGUGUCUUGAGGUAUCGGAAAAAGGGAAGUUGAGUCUGAGGUUCAUUAGCCCUUUUGAGAUUUUGGAGCGAGUUGGGAAGGUUUAUUAUGAGCUUGCUUUACCUCUGAGUUUGGCCGGGGUUUAUCCGGUAUUUCAUGUCUUGAUGCUUCGGAGGUAUCACGGCGAUCCGUCUCAUGUUUUGUAGUUCACUUCAGUCCAAUUGGACAAGGAUCUGUCCUACGUUGAAGAGCCGGUGGCAAUAUUGCAUAGGCAGUUCCAAAAGCGCAGGUCAAGGAAUAUAGCUUCAGUAAAGGUUCAGUGGCGAGGUCAGCUGGCUAAGGAGGUGACUUGGGAGACCGAGCGGUAUAUACGCAGCCAAUACUCUCAUCUUUUCACUACUUCAGGUAUAUUCUCUAUGCUCGUUUGAGGACGAACAAAUAUUUAAGUGUAGGAGGAGGUAAUGACACUGCUGGUCAUUUUUGGAAUUUAUACUCUAUUCCGCUAUUAACUGCUUCCCCUAAGUUUGUUUCUGCAAUUUGGUUUGCUGGCGUUCGAUAUAGAACUCAGAGUGUUUUGGUACACUUAGUCCCUAAAUGAGAGCUCCAGUAUUAGAACGUGAAAUGUAAUCGGAACAGUGUAAAGACGACCUCGAAAUGGAAAUCUGAUGGUUCAGUUAGAUCCAUUAGGUGAUUUUAGGGUUAGGAGCGUGUUCGGAAGGUGUUUUAGAUGUCCGUAGCUCAUUUAGGCUAGAAAUGCAUAAAGUUAAAAUUUUGAAGUUUCCCGUCUGAUAGUGAAGUUUUGAAUCGAGGGUCGAAUUAGGAUUCCAAAAGUUUUUGUAGUACCGCCUUGUCAUUUGGGACGUGCGUGCAACAUUUCAGGUCAAUCGGAUGAGUGUUGUUUAGGUUUUUGAUUGAAAGCGUAUUUUGGAUGAACUUGAAGUUCUUAGGACUGAAUCUUUGAUUUAAUCGGGUUUGCGGUGUUGUUUUAUAAGUUUUAUGGAUUUAUGCAAGUUUGAAAAAGGUAUUAGACUGUAUUAGUUCUUUUGGUUGAGGUCCCGAGGGCUCAGGUGUGUUUCGAAUACUCAAAAGGUAAAUUUUGGAGUUAAAAGAAAAAUUUGCAGCAGGUUUUCUGGUAUUUCCGCUUCUGCGGCUUGGGAACCGCAGAAGCAGCUUUGGCUCCGCAAAAGUGAUUGGCGCAAACUCAUAAGGAACCGUAGUAGCGGUUGAUAUUCCGCAAAAGCGGAUCCGCUCAUGCGAGAUGGGAAUCGCAGAAGCAGAAAUUGGGAAGGUUAAUGAAACCGCAGAAGCGUUCCUUGUUCGCAGAAGCGGAAAUCACUGUUUUGAAAAGGGAAAUCCGAGGGUUUAUUUCAAACGUUAGAUAAAUAAAAAUUUAGCUCGGGUGAAGGCGAUUUUGGGUGGAUUAUGAAAGGAAAAUCAGUGGGUAAUGUUUUCUUAACCUCAUUUAGUUGUUUUCUAUCAAUAUCUAGUUAAAUCCACCAUUAAAAUCCGAAUUCAAUGUCAAAAUUGGGGAAAAUUGGAUGAAACUUCUUAGACGUAAUUAUUCUAUUUUGAGAGGGAAUUUGACCUUCUAUUUAGGAGAUUUUUAUAUGGUUAGACUCGUGAGAGUACGAGGGUACUGAAAGUGUGAAAAUUAUUAGAUUCCGAGCCGUUGGCCUGAGGGGUAUUUUAGUUAUUUUACCUAUUUUCACGCCUUAGUAGUAACUUUAAUAGUGGAAUUAGUUACUUUUGAUGUUUUUACGUUAUGUAAUUGGAUUGAAUAGAUUUGGGCCAUUCAGAGUCGGAUACUCGUGGGAAAGGCAUUGUUCGUAGUUGAUUUUGGUACCGGUUCGAGGUAAGUGGCUUGUCUAACUUUGCGUGGGGGACCUCUCCCCUUAGGAUAUAUUACUUGUUAUUUUAAAUUCCUUGUACGUGAGGUGACGAGCGUGUACUUGGGCUAAUUGUUUAAAAUCCGUUCCACUUAGAAUAUUUAAGUUGUUUUUUCUUGCGUAUUUGCCUAAUCUAAAUGCCAUUUAACUGUGUUAGCUUAAGAAAAGCAUGUUUAGCUGACUUACUUUCUUAUUUGCCUAAACUGUACUAUCUAGCCUCCGUGAAGCAUACUAGACUACAAAUUCUAUUAAUUGUCCUUAGUAGCAUUAUAUAAUAUUUGAAUUGUUGUGGUGUGUUUACAAUUUGGGACUACGGGAUGGCAUCCCAAAAGUUUCCCCAGCACGUGUUACAUUCUAAGACUGAGAGUGUGGGAUACCAAGAGAUCCCUGGCACAGAUAUGACUAUUAAAUAGAGGAUACCGAGAGAUACUCGGGAUACUAAGAGAUCCCUUGUGUAUAAAUGGAGGAUACCAGGAGAUACUCGGGAUACUAGGAGAUCCUUCGUGUAUAUGAUGAGGAUACCAGGAGAUCCUCGAGAUACCAGGAGAUCCCCAAUGAUAAAUAUCCGGUGGUGAUUUGUACUUCUAUUUAUUUACUAUGUUGGUUCUCGGUUACUGUUUUAUUUAUUAUCUUGCUCGAUUCUCAUAGUAGAUUAUAUCCAUGUUGUCUUUUCCUUAUCAUAUCAAUUAUUAUGUUUUUAUCUCAGCAGGGCCUCGACCUUCCUCGUCACUACCUGAUCGACGUUAGCCUUGGCACUUAUUGAGUACCACUGUGGUGUACUCACGCCUCUUUUGCGCAUGUUUUCCAUAUGCAGACCCAGGUACUUCUUCCCAGGCGGAUCAUCCUUGCAGCGGAGAGCAUUAGUGGAGAUUCGAGUUAUAUCUUCUAUGUCCACAGUCCCAAAGUCUCUAUUUCUUUCCAGCUGUAGCAGAUUGCCCCCUUUUUCCUUCUAUUAUGUUUCUUUAGAUACUCUGGUGUAGAGCGUGUUAUGCUACUCUUUUAGUCUGAGUUCCCCGUAAGGUUUCGGGUCUUUGGGAUGGUUUCAGAAUUCUAAGUGUUAAAGUGUAUGUGCCAGGCGGCAACUUUAUACAUUUCUUAUGUUAUUUAGCUUUUAGUUAUUGUGUUUCGUAAAGGUAGUAAAUUCUGCAAUAUGAUAGGCUUACCUAGUCGUGAAUACUAGAUACUUGUCCCGAGCCUAGUUCACCAAUAUCAUAAUCCUUCAGUAGCUCCAACCAUCUCCUCCGGCGCAAGUUCAAAUUUUUCUGCUUGAACAAGUGCUAUAAACUCCGAUGAUUUAAGUAUAUCUCACAGGGUACGAUGUACAAAUAAUGCCGCCAGAUCUUCAAGGCAUGAACAAUGACAACUAACUCAAGGUCAUGGACAACGUAGUUCUUCUCAUGUAUCUUCAGCUGUCUGGACGCGUAGGCAACCACCCUAUUCUCCUGCAUCAACACCGCCCCAAGUCCGACCCUUUAGGUAUCACAAUAAACUAUAUAGGACCCUGAACCAAUAGGCAGUAUCAGAAUAGGAGGUGAAGUCAAAGCUGUCUUGAGAUUUUGAAAGCUUGCGUCGCACUCAUCUGUCCACUGAGAUGGAGCACCCUUCUAGAUCAAUCUAGUAUAACGGAUGUCGUACUCUGAUAAGGUCAUAGCACCCUAGCGCAAAUGCUCAAACUCCGCGGGCCAUGCGUCCCUGAGGCUCUGAAGAACAAACUCCCUCUGAAACAUAUUUGAAAACUGUGCCCACGUCAGAGAGAAGAGUUACGUGGAGCGAAAGGUUUGUGAUUUUUCCUUUAUGGUUGAUGAUCGUGUUCGGCUUCGGGUCUUGCUUAUGAAAGGUGUCUUGAGGUUUGGGAAAAAGUGAAGUUAAGUUCGAGGUUCGUUGGCCCUUUUGAGAUUUUGAAGCGAGUUAGGGAGGUUACUUAUGAGCUUUCUUUACCUCUGAGUUUGACCGGGGUUCAUCCGGUAUUUCAUGUCCUGAUGCUUCGGAUGUAUCACGGUGAUCCGUCUCAUGUUUUGGAGUUCACUUCAAUCCAAUUGGACAAGGAUCUGUCUUACAUUAAAGAGGCAGUGGCAAUAUUGCAUAGGCAGGUCCGAAAGCUCAAGUCAAAGGAUAUAGCUUCAGUAAUGGUUCAGUAGCGAGGUCAGCUUGCCAAGGAGGCGACUUGGGAGACCGAGCGGGAUAUGCGUAGCCGAUACCCUCAUCGUUUCACUAAUUCAGGUAUGCUUUCUAUGGUCGUUCGAGGAUGGACAGAUGUUUACGUGAAGGAGGAUGUAAUGACCCGGCCAGUUAUUUUUGGAAUUUAUACCAUGUUCCCCUAUUAACUUUUUCUCCUAAGUUUGCUUCGGCUAUUUUGGUUUGCUGGGAGGUUCGGUAUUAGAACUCGGAGUAUUUUGGUACACUUAGUCCCUAAAUGAGAGCUCCGGUAUUAGAAAGUGGUCUAUAAUUAGAAUAGUGUCAAGACGACCUCAGAACGGAAAUCCGAUGACUUUGUUAGCUCCGUUAGGUUAUUUUAGGGUUAGGAGCAUGUUCGGAAGGUGUUUUGGAUGCCCGUAGCUCAUUUAGUCUAGAGAUGCCGAAAGUUAAAAUUUUGAAGUUUCAUGUCUGAUAGUGAAGUUUUGAUUCGAGGGUUGGAGCAUAACUCCAAAAGUUGUCGUAGUACCGUCUUGUCAUUUGGGACGUGCGUGCAACAUUUCAGGUCAACGGACGAGUAUUGGCUAGGUUUUUGAGUGAAAGCAUAUUUUGGAUGAACUUGAUGUUCUUAGGAUUGAAUCUUUGAUUUAAUCGGGUUUAUGGUGUUGUUUUUGAAGUUUAAUGGAUUUAUGAAGAUUUGAAUAACGUAUUAGAUGGUAUUAGUGCUUUUGGUUGAGGUCCUGAGGGCCUCGGGUGUGUUUCGGAUGCUCAAAAGGUAAAUUUUGGAGUUAGAAGAAAACUUUGCAGCAGGUUUUCUUGUAUUUUCGCUUCUGCGUCUUGGGAACCGUAGAAGCGGCUUUAGCUCCGUUGAAGCGAUUGGCGCAAAGUCAGAAGGAACCGCAGUAGCGGUACAUCUUCUGCAGAAGCAGAUCUGCUCAUGCCGUAUGGGAACCACAGCAGCAGAAAUUGGGAAGGUUAAUGAAACCUCAAAAGCGCUCCCUUGACCGCAGAAGCGGAAAGCACUGUUAUGAAAAGGGGACAUCCGAGGGUUUAUUUCAAAAGAUAGAGAAAUCAAAAUUUAGCUCGGGGGAAGGCGAUUUUGGGUCGAUUUCGAAGAGAAUAUCAGUGGAUAAUGUUUCCUUAACCUCAUUUAGUUGUUUUCUAUCAAUAUCUAGUUAAAUCCACCAUUAGAAUCCGAAUUCAAGGUCAAAAUUGGGGAAAAUAGGAUGAAACUUCUUAGACUUAAUUAUUGUAUUUUUAGAGGGUAUUUGACCUCCGAUUUAGGAGAUUUUUAUAUGGUUACACUUGUGGUAGUACGAGGGUAAUGAAAAUGUGAAAAUUAUUCGAUUCUGAGCCGUUGGCCUGAGGGCGUUUUGAUUAUUUUACCUAUUUUCAUGCCUUAGCAGUAAUUUUAAUAGUGGAAUUAGUUACUUAUAAUGUUAUUUACGUUAUGUAGUUGGAUUGAAUAGAUUUGGGCUAUUCGGAGUCGGAUACUCGUGCCAAAGGAAUUAUUCAUAGUUUAUUUUUGUACCGGUUCGAGGUAAGUGGCUUUUCUAACUUUGCGUGGGGGACCUCUCCUGUUAGGAUAUAUUACUUGUUAUUUUAAAUGCCUUGUACGCAAGGUGACGAGUGUGUACUUGCGCUAAUUGUUUAAAAUCCGUCCCACUUAUAAUAUUUAAACUGUGUUUUCUUGCGUAUUUGCCUAAUCUAAGUGCCAUUUAACUUGUGUUAGCUAAAGAAAAGCAUGUUUAGCUGACUUACUUGCUUAUUUGCCUAAAUGGUAUUAUCUGUCCUCCGUGAAGCAUGCUAGACUAGAAAUUUUAUUAAUUGUUCUUACUUAUCAUUAUAUUAUAUUUGAAUUUUUGUGGUGUGUUUACGAUUGGGACUACGAGACGACAUCCCGAAAGGUUCCCCAGCACGUGUUACAUUCUAAGAAUGAGAGUGAGGGAUACCAAGAGAUCCCUGGCACAGAUAUUACUAUAAAAUAGAGGAUACCGGGAUCCUCGGGAUACUAAGAGAUCCCUUGUGUAUAUAUGGAGGAUACAUGGACAUACUCGGGAUACUAGGAGAUUCUCGGGAUACCAGGAGAUUCCCGAUGAUAAAUAUCCGGUGGUGAUUUGUACUUCUAUUUAUUUACUGUGUUGGUUCUCGGUUACUGUCUUAUUUAUUAUCUUGCUAGAUUCUCACAGUAGAUUAUAUCCAUGUUGUCUUUUCCUUGUCAAUUAUUAUGUUUUUAUCUCAGUAGGACCUCGACCGUCCUCGUCACUACCUGAACGAGGUUAGGCUUGGCACUUACUGAGUACCGCUAUGGUGAACUCACGCCUCUUCUGCGCAUGUUUUCCAUGUGAAGACCUAGGUACUUCUUCCCAUGCGUAUCAUCCUCGCGGCAGUGAGCAUUAGUGGAGACUCGAGAUAUAUCUGCUACGUCUGCAGACCCGAAGUCUCAAUUUCAUUCCAGCUGUAGCAUAUAGCCCCCCAUUUCCUUCUAUUAUGUUGCUUUAGAUACUCUGGUGUAGAGCGUAUUAUGAUACUCUUUUAGCAUGUGUUACCCGUGAGAUUCUGGAUCUUUUGGAUGGUUUCAGAAUCCUAAGUUUUAAAGUGUAUCUGCCAGGUUGAAACUUUAUACAUUUCUUAUGUUAUUUAGCUUUAAUUUAUUGUUUUUCGUAAAGAUUGAAAAUUUUGCAUGUGAUAGGCUUACCUCAUCGUGAAGAUUAGAUACUUUUCACGACCCUAGUUCACCAAUAUCAUAUUCCUUUAGUAGCUCCAACCAUCUCCUCGUGCGCAAGUUUAGAUCUUUGUGCUUAAGCAUCUGUUGUAAACUCCGAUGAUCUCUGUAAAUCUCAUAGGGCACGCCAUACAAAUAAUGGCGGCACAUCUUCAAGGAAUGAACAAUAGCAGCUUACUCAUGGUCAUGGACAGGGUAGUUCUUCUCAUGUAUAUUUAGCUAUCUGGACGGGUAGGCAAUCACCCUGCUAUUUUUCAUCAACAUCGCUCCAAGUCAAACAACUGAGGCAUCACAAUAUACUAUAUAAGACCCCGAACCAGUAGACAACAUCAGAAUAAGGGUUGAAGUCAAAGCUAUCUUGAGCUUCUGAAAGCUCGCCUCACACUUAUCUGUCCACUGAAAUGGAGCACCCUUCUAGGUUAAUCUAGUAUAACGGAUGGAAUACUAUGAAACAGUCAUAGCACCCUCGCGCAAAUGAUCAAACUCCUGUCAUGCAUCCCUAAGGCUCUGGGGAACGAACUCCCUCUGAAACAUAUCUGAAAACUGUGCCUAGUUUAGAGAGAAGAGUUACGCGGACCGGAAGGUUCGUGAUAUCUUCUUUAUGGUUGGUGAUCGGGUUCUGCUUCGGGUCUCACCUACGAAAGGCGUCAUGAGUUUUGGGGAGAAAUGGAAGUUUCCAGAUUUCAUAUCUACUAUCUUGAUCUUGAUUUUAUUUGGGUGUUCAUCUAGUAAAUUAAUCAAGACUUUAACUCGUGUCGUACUAAGUCGCGUUCAAUCUUUAGUAUCCUAAUAUACUGCUACAAGCUUUCUCACGGCAGAUGCGAUGGACAUUAAGGAUUUUUUUGCGAAGAAAUUUGCUGGCAGUUCAGGAAACGAAAUCCAAGUGACAGCUUUUGACGUUUCUUUACGAGGGUUAAAUCCUUUUGCCUUCACAUAGCCAGUUGUUCUUGAUAACACAUUAGCAAAAUCUUCAAAUAGAUCAAAUCUUACCAAAAUAUGCUGAUAUUCUUGCUGUCCAAUGUUACAAUUACCUUUGACGUCGAAUUGUUUCAGCAAAAUUUGUCUCAUCUCCUGAAGCUCAGGCUUUCCAUAUGAAAAUUUAAUUACAACUGCUUGUUGAAGACCUUCCUCUCCUGAAGCUCAGGCUUUCCAUAUGAAAAUUUAAUUACAACUGCUUGUUGAAUACCUUCCUCCCUAGUGAAUGCAUUCACUUCAUCUACUGUGAAUUCAACAGUAGGUAUUCCAUGCUCGAACGUAACAGGACAGAGUUCCACCUUUGAGUUUUUUGCGGCAGAUUGUUGCCCAGCAAGUUGCGAAGCAUAUGUUUGUUUGGUACCGAUAGUUGUUGGAUUUUCAGGAUUAAUUUGAGUAGCCUCUCCCACAACAAAAGGAUGGGGAGAGGGCGUAGCAUCCAUGGUUGCUUUAUCCUUCAAACACAGUCCAUCACAUCCACGCUAUCAAAAGGAAUAUCGCUGGAAAUUUGAAGAAAUUCUUGUUGCUACAGUAAAUCGUGAAAAUAAGAUUUAAGAUGUAGGAAAAUUGGUUAUAGAUUUGAGGUAAAAAUCAAUUGGGGAUUGUUCGCAAAGAGAAGAGGAUCGUGUGGCACCAAUUUUGUGACAAUCCACCGCCAAAGUCCGGAGGUAUGCCCGAUGAAUAGUGAUGGAAACACUAUUCAUCCUUCUUCCUAGAGAGAAUAUGUGAACAGUAACACUAUUCACCCGACUAAUCUUGCCCAGGGCUAUUAAUUUUAAUAGUGGAAUUAGUUACUUGUGCUGUUAUUUAGAUUAUGUUAUUGGAUUGAUUAGAUUUGUUCCAUUCAGAAUCGGAUACUCGUGGCAAAGGCGUUGUUCGUAGAUGAUUUUGGUACUGGUUCGAGGUAAGUGGCUUGUCUAACUUUGCGUGGGGGGGCCUCUUCUCUUAGGAUAUAUUACUUGUUAUUUUAAAUGCCUUGUAUACAAGGUGAUGAGCAUGUACUUGGGCUAAUUGUUUAAAAUCGGUUCUACUUAGAAUAUUUAAACUGUGUUUUCUUGCGUAUUUGCCUAAUCUAACUGCCAUUUAAUCUGUGUUAGCUUAAGAAAAGCAUGUUUAGCUUAAUCUGUCCUCUGUGAAACAUGCUAGACGAGAAAUUCUAUUAAUUGUUAUGACUUAGCAUUAUAUGAUAUUUGAAUUGUUGUGGUGUGUUUACAAUUUGGGACUACGGGACGAGAUCCUGGAAGUCCCCUUGCAGGUGUUACAUUCUAAGACUGAGAGUGCGGGAUACAAAGAGAUCCCCAACACAUAUAUGACUAUAAAAUUGAGGAUACCGGAAGAUCAUCGGGAUACUAAUUGAUCCCUUGUUUAUAAAUGGAGGAUACCAAGAGAUCCUCGGGAUACUAGGAGAUCCCUCGUGUAUAUGAUGAGGAUACCAGGAGAUCCUCGAGCUACCAGGAGAUCCCCGAUGAUAAAUAUUCGGUGGUGAUUUGUACUUCUAUUUAUUUACUGUGUUGGUUCUCGGUUACUGUCUUAUUUAUUAUCUUACUAGAUUCUUACACUAGAUUAUAUCCAUGUUGUCUUUUCCUUAUCAUAUCGAGUAUUAUGUUUUUAUCUCAUAGAUGACCAGGUAUUAUAUAGUUUUGGUGGACUCACAGAAGCUAUCACAGACCAAAAUGUGUUUUCCAACCAUGAAUGUAACAUAAUGAACCUUUCGAUCUGCAUAGCUCUUCUGUCUAAAUUAGGUUGUACGAAGCCAAUCUUGGGUCAACUUGACAUUCUCCAAGGCAUCUCAAACCAAAUAUGUUCCCAAUAACUCAGCCUCUCUAGGCUCAAACCAACCAAUUGGGAACGAUACCAUCUCCCAUAUAGGCCCUUAUAAGGAACCAUCGAAAUACUUAAUUGGUAGAUGUUACUAUCGUCAAACUCCGCAAGUGGUAUGAACUGAUCCUAAGAACCCCCGAAAUCCAUAACACAUGCACAAAGCAUAUUCUCCAAUAUCUAAAGGUGCGGUUGGACUGUCUGUCCAUCUGGGGGUGAAAUGUUAUACUCAACUCAACUCAUGUGGCUAACUCAUGCUAUAAAACUCUCUAGAAACAUCAUAUAAUUUGCGUACCCCGGUCAGAGAUGAUAGAUACUGGCAUGCCAUGAAGUUGGACAAUAUCGCUGAUGUAGAUCUUACAUCUGCUCUCAAGAAUAGGUAGUAACUAUGGGAAUGAAAUGAGCCGACUUGGUCGACCUAUCUACAAUCACCUAUACUGUAUCAAAUUUACUAUGAGUUUGUGGGAGCCCAACAAUGAAGUCUAUGAUGACACACUCCCAUUUGCACUUUGGAAUCCCAAGUCUCUGAAGCAAACUACCUACCUCUGAUGCUCAUACUUCACUCGUUGGAAGUUUAGGCACCGAGCUAUAUACUCCACAGUCUUUCUUCAUCCUCUUCCACCAAUAGUGGUUCCUCAAAUCCUGCUACAUCUUAGCGGCACCUGGUUGAAUGGAGUAUUGUGAACUAUGGGUCUCCUAAAUAAUUAACUCACACAACCCAUCCACAUUGGGCACACAUAACUGGCCCUGCAUCCAUAACUCACCGUCAUCUCCAAUAGAAACCUCAUUGGCAUCGCUGCGCUGAACCGUGUCCUUAAGGACAAGCAAAUGAACGUCAUCAUACCGACGCUCUAUGAUGAGAUCAUAUAGGAAAGACUAAGAGACCAUGCAAGCAAGAACUCGAAUGGGCUCCAAAACAUCCAAUCUACAAAUUGGUUAGCCAAGGCCUUAGUGCCCUCUCUGCUGCCAGUGGAUAAGCUAAAUUGCCCAAGCUCUCUGCCUUUUGACUCAAGGCAUCGUUCAUCACAUUGGCCUUCCCAGGGUCGUAUAGUAUAGUAAUAUCAUAGUUUUUAUGCAACUCUAACCAUCUCUGCUUCCAUGAUUUAAGAUAUUUCUAUUUGAAUAGAUGUUAUAGACUCCGAUGUUUGGUAAAGACCUCACAAGGGACACCAUACAAAUAGUGCCACCAAAACCUCGAGGUAUGAAUAAUAGCUGCCAAUUCCAAGUCAUGGACUAGAUAGUUCUUCUCAUGGACCUUUAGUUGUUGAGAGGAAUAGGCAAUCACCCAACCAUCAUGCAUCAACAUCGUGCCAAGGCCAACAUGGGACUCAUCACAGUACAUAGUGUUAGAACCCAAACCUGUAUGCAACACCGACGCUGAAGCUAUAGUCAAAGAAGUCUUGAGCUUUUGAAAGCUCACCUCACACUGCUCGAGCCAUCUGAAAGAAGCACCCUUCAAGGCCAAUAUGGUCAGACGUAGAACAAUAUAUGAGAAACCCUCUACAAAACGACGAUAAUACCCGGCCAAACCAAGGAAACUUUGAAUCUCUGUAGUUGAGGACAAUCUGAGCCAACUUUGAAAUGCUUUAAUCUUUACAGAUUUACCAUGAUCCCCUUACUCGAUACCACAUGACCCAAAUAUGCCACUUAAUCAACCUAGAAUUCGCAGUUCGAGAAUUUUGCAUACAACUUCUUCUCUCUCAAGGUCUGUAGCAUGAUCCUCAACUGUUGGCUAUGAUCUUCCCGGCUAUGAGUGUACACAAAAAUGUCGUCGAUAAACAUAAUGAGGAAUGAAUAUAGAUAUGGCUGGAAUACAAUAUUCCUCAGGUGCAUAAAUGUUGUUGGGGCAUUGGUAGCCCAGAUGAUAUUACAAGGAACUUGUAGUCACCAUACUAACAUCUAAAGGUAGUCUUCAGAAUAUCCGGAUCACGAAUCAUUAGAUGAUGAUAAACCGAUCACAAAUCAAUCUUCAAGAAUACUCUAACACUAUGUAGCUGAUCAAAUAAGUCAUCAAUGCACGAUAAUGGAUAUAUGUUUUUUAAUGUAGCCUUGUUCAAAUACCGAUAAUCAAUAGAAACAUUCUUUUUCUUCACAAAUACGACUAGAGAACACAUGCGUCAACACACUACGCUGAAUAAAACCUUUAUCAAGAGACUCCUGAAACUGCCUAUUUAACUCCUUCAACUCUACUGGGGCUAUACAAUAUGGUGGAACAAAAAUUGGUUGAGUGUCUAGCAAUAAGUCAAUAACAAAAUCAAUAUCCAUAUCGAGUGGAUACUCGGAAGAUAUGCUGGAAAGACAUCUGGGAAGUCUCUCACUGUUGGACUGACUCAACGGUAGGAGUAUCAGCACAGACAUCUCUCAUAAAGGUUAGAUAGGCAUCACACCACUUUCUCAACCAUUCGCUAAGCAUUUAGAAAUGACAUAACCCUACUAAGAACAUAAUCUAAUGCACAUUUCCAUUCUUACCGUGGCAAACUUGUCAUGGCAAAUGUUAUAGUCUUGGUAUGACAAUCUAGGAUAGUAUGAUAUGAAAAAAACAUGUUGAUGCCCAAGAUAUGUAAGGUGUCUACAGAUUUCCGGAGAAUAUAAUAUCUAUUCAAGCAAAAAAGAUUUGAACUUGAAGCAACGAAAGUGGUUAGAUCUAUUGAAGGAUUAUGAUAUCAGCAUUCUUUAUUGAAGGCUAAUAUGAUGGUUGACACCUUGAGUAGGAAGGUGGAGAGUAUGGGGAGUCUUGCUUUUAUUCUAGAUGGGGAGAGGCCUUUGGAAUUGGAUGUUCAUGCUUUGGCCAACAGGUACGUGAUAAUGUAUAUUUUGGAUCCCAGUAGAGUCUUUGCUUGUGUUGUAUCAUAGUCGCCCUAGUUUGAGUGCAUCAAGACUCACCAGUAUGAUAAUUCCCAAUUGCUUGUCCUUAGGAACACGGUGCAGUGAGGUGGUGCCAAGGAGGUGAUUAGUGGAGAUGAUUGUCUAUUGCGGCUUCAGGGUCAAAGUUUUGUGCCUAAUAUGGAUGAGUUAGGGGAGCUGAUUCUUCAGGAGGCCCAUAGUUUGCCGUACUUCAUUCAUCUAGGUGCCGCGUAGAUGUACCAUGAUUUGCAGCAGAAUUUUUGUGGGGGAGGAUAAAGAAAUACAUUAUUGGUUAUGUUGCUCGAUGUGGGAAUUGUCAGUAGGUCAAGUACGAACACCAGAGACCUGGUGGUUUGCUUCAGAGGCUAGAUAUAGCAUAAUAGAAGUGGGAGCAUAUCACUAUAUAUUUUGUGGUUUGACUACAAUGAACCGUGAGGAGAUUUGAUGUUGUGUGGGUCAUUGUCGACAGACUGACCAAAUCUACAUACUUUAUUCCAGUCAUGACUUCCUACACUUCAAGCAAUUGGCUCAUUUAUCUUAGAGAGAUUGCUUGGCUAAAUGGUGUGCCUAUGUCUAUUAUCUCGGAUCGAGGCACUCAGUUUACAUCAUAUUUUUGGAGAGCGGUGCAGUAUGAGUUGGGUACACAUGUUGAGUUGAGUACGGCAUUUCAUACCAGACAGCCGAGCAGUUCGGGCAUACUCUCCAAAUCUUAGAGGAAAUGCCGAGAGCAUGUGUCAUUGAUUUCAGGCGCUAGUGGAAUCAAUUUUUUCCAUUAGUAGAGUUCGCCUAUAAUAGAAGCUACCACUAGAGUAUCCGGAUGGAUCCGUAUGAGGCCUUACAUAAGAGGAGAUGUCAUUCUCCAGUUGGGUUGUCUAGGUUGUUACGCACUGAUUUGGUUCAUGAUGCUUUAGAGAAGGUAAAAUUUAUUUAUGAGAGGCUUUUACAGCACAAUCGUGGAAAAAGCGUUUUGUUGAUAGGGAGGCUCGUGAUGUAGCAUGUAUUGUGGGUGAGAGGGUUCUACAUAGAGUGUCUCACAUUAAGAGUGUGAUGCGGUUAGGGAAGAAGGGUAAGUAGAUCCCCCGGUAUAUUGGUCUUUUCGAGGUGUUAAAGAGAGUUGGAGAGGUAACCUACAUACUUGCUUUGCCAGCCAUCUAAUCGGUAGUUCAUCUGGUGUUCCAUAUUUUCAUGCUCCGGAAGAACUAUGAGGAUCCGUCACAUGUGUUGGAUUUCAACUUAGUGCGGUUGGAAAAGGAUUUGACCUAUGAAAAAUAGCCAAUGGCCAUUUUUGACAGAUAUGUUUGGAAGCUGAUGUCGAAGGAUAUUACAUAGGUGAAGGUUCAAUAGAGAGGUCGAUCGGUCAAAGAGGCAACUUAGGAGACCGAGCAUGAUAUGCAAAAGAAAUACCCUCAUCUUUUUGAUAUCCCAGGUAUGAUUCUAAACCAAUUCGAGACGAAUAUUUGAUUAAGAGGGGAGAAUGUAACUACCCUGUUGAUAGCCAAUUUUGACCCUCCCUUUUAAUGUUACUUUAUUUAUACUUAAUGUUUUAAAUAAAUAUUUUCAAAAAUAUUGUUAUUCAAUAAAAUUAUUUUUGACAAAAAUUAAUUUAGUAUUAAUAAUUUUGAAACUAAUAAUUCGAUGUUAUAAUUAAACUAUUCUUACAAUUUUUUAGAUAAAUAAUUAAUUUUAUAAAAUAAUGCAUACGCUUUUUAUUUCACUUGAUGACUUAUUUCUUAAAUUCUAAUUAAUUAGAUUACUAUGUUAAUCAUUUGUAGUUAAUGUUAUAAUCCUAAAAAUGAAGUAUUUAUAAAUAACAAAAUGUGAUAGUUAGUAACGUAUAUGAUGAUUAUAGUUUUAUUACAUUUUAUCAAAAAUAAAUAAGUUUGUAUAAUUUACUUUCAAGAGGGUUUAAAAUGGCGAAAGGUCAUAAUUGUAGUUCUCUAUUAAAGACCAAAUGGCUAUUUUUCAAACCAUUUUAGCCCAGCACACAAGCCUAAUCCGGAAAAUACCCGGUCCAAGCUCCCCUUCCACUCCACUUUGGCAAUCCAUGUCACUCCCUAUAAACCCAUGGUGGUGCGCCACAUCACCUAUCUCAAUCACUCACAUAACAAACAUAAUUAAUCCAAGGCGUCCAUCUUAUAGAUCAACAGCUCCGAAAUUAUCCCCGUUUUUCCUUUAAUUUCGAUACCCAUCAGAUUUAAUCGUGGCCAUUGAGAUCAGGAAAUCCAACAGCCUUAUAUUUUCUCCUUAAAAGAUUUUAAACCCGAAAUUAUUAGGGUCGUUGAUCCAUUGAUCCAACAGCCUGAAUUCAUUCAUUUUACCUUAUCCUAGAGAUAGAUCCCCUAACUCUAAUCAUUCCAUCCUUUGACUCCGCUGCUCCAUUUUCCCUUUCUCUCUUGUUUCCUCUCAAAUCCUAGACCAAACAGUCUCAAAACCUUGCACCAAAUCGUGCAAGGUCGUAAAUCUUGACCCAAAACCGCCUCUUUGCUCCCCUAUAUGGGAAUUCCACCAGAACCUUCCCGUUUAGCCUUCCCUUUUCAUCACUCAUAUUUCGUUUCUUGAGUUCUUUGGACUCGAACAUAAACACAAAACUUGAAGUCCUCAAAGAUUUUGAUGUUUCAACCGAAUCACUUAUGCAUGGUACAUCUCAUGAUUAUUAUUCUAAACCAGAGGUCAAAUGCAAUGGCCUCUGGACCUCUAGUCUUUACCCGAUGAAUUUCACAUGUAAUGGUUGUCGUGCACUCAAGUAAAUUUCUCACUCGUUUUUUCUCUUAGAUUUACUCUGACUUUACCCUCUCUGCUAUCAUUAUCUAUCCUUCAUCAUCUUCCACAAUUUAUUUUGAAUCUGAAGCCCUAGGGCUUCAUAGCCACUAUAAAUUGGGGCUUUUAAUGCUUUCACCUAAGCAGUGUUUUGGAGGCGACAAGGGCUGGCCUUGCUUCAAAGCGCAAAAAAGCCCACGCUUUUUUAAAGUGAAGCGCAAUUCUUAAAAAACAUUAUGUAAAAUUAUAAAUAAUUAAAAGCAUCAAUUUAAAUACUUAAAAGUAGGUACUAGGUACCACCACAUCAUCCACAAACCAUAGACAAGUUACAUAAUAUCUUCUGAGUAAGGCAAAUCCAAAAGCAUACCCUCUCCAUAACAUAUAACCAAGUAUUCAACACAACAUAUCAAAGGAGGAAUAUUGCUAAUCGAAGCCCAAAGGCAAUUGUCAUAGAAAUUCACAUUUACUAAAUUUUCCCUCAUACUUAGUUGAGUCCUGAAUAUCAUUGAAAGUAGCCCGAUAUGAUAAGAUCUGCUCUAGUUCAUGUACUAAAUUACUAGAAGUCAAUCAACAUCUUAUUCUUCUAUGUCAUGAAAAUAAACUGAAAUUAUAUAAAUUAUGAAAAUAAACUGAAAUUAUAUAAAUUAUAAUAAUUAACUGAAAUUAUAUAAAUUAUAAUAAUUAACUGAAAAUAAUCUGAAAUUACAUAAAUUAUGAAAAUAAACUGAAAUUAUAUAAAUUAUAAAGUUAUAAUAAUUAACUGAAAUUAUAUAAAGUAAUAACAUAAUUAUAUAAAGUUAUAAUAUAAUGUAAUUAUAUAAAGUUAAAAUAACUAAAACUAAAUAGAUAUAUAUAUAUACUUAACAGAAAACAAAAGGGAAAACAAAACAUCAAUCUUCCACCUCGUUCGUAACAGAUAUGAACGAGAAACAGAGAGAGAAGGAGAGAAGAAACAGAACGAAGAAAAAAAAAACGUGAACUCAAGAACAGAAGAAGAAAAAAAUUAAGAAGAAGAAGAAGAUCGACUGGGUCUCGUCGACUGAAGAAGAAGAUGGAAGAAGAAGAAAAAAGAAAAAAACAAGAAGAAAGGAGAAGAAAAAAAUACCUGGGUUGGGAUGAAACCCUAAUUUUCUGCAACUGGAGAAGAAGAAGAGAGGCUGGUCCACCUCUGUUUGGGACUAAUAUAGGUAUUUUUGAGACCCCAAAGUUUUUUUUUUUAAAAAAGACCUCUGCAUGCGCUUUCUUCAAUUAAGCGAUCGCUUUUGCGCUUCGAUCGCUUCUGCGCGUUUGCGCUUCUGCCAUGGAAGCGAUCGCUUCUCUAGGUCGCCUCGCUUCAGCCUGCAAAAAGCGAUAGAGGGUCGCUUCGCGUCGCUUCGCGACGAAGCGACCGCUUUUCAAAACACUGCACCUAAGACACAACAAGAUAUAUCUACUAGAUGCAUUUAACAAGAAAAGCUAAUAAUUAACAUAAUGUUUAGGAAGAUUUCGGCUAAGUUGAGUUAUUGGUCAGUUUUCUACUUUUUUAUGACAAUGAGUGUAUUACUGAUUAAGAGGUUGAGCUCUUACUUACCUAAAUGACUAAUUCGAAUACUCGUUUGGUUUUCUUCCCCAAAAAAGGUCAGCAAACUUCAACCUUACUCUUUUGUUUUACUAGUUUAAGUCCCUAAAUGUGAAAUAUUUUACUAUCUCUACCGAUUGAUCUUACCGAUAAUACAUUCAUGCCUUUUAAUUAUUUUAUCUAUUUGUUAAUGACUAACGAGUACAUUUUGCAACCCGAAACUUCUUUUAAAAAACAUUUGAAUGCUAAAAUGCAUAUGUUGAUUCAUGUCUAUUGUUAACUCUGACAUGAUUUCUUGACUAUCUUAAAUACUUAGUUCCAAAUCUAUCUCUCUCUCUUAUAUGCUUUGUUAAUAGUGUUAUGAUUACUACACUAACAUGCUUUGAACAUCAUUCACCAUUCACAUUUAUUCAUUUAAUUCAAUAGAAUCUGAUUAUGUUAAGGGCUAAAAGAUCAAAUUGUUAUUUUGGUUCUACUUAUGCCCUUUGAAUCUACUCUCAUAUCUUUAUUGUAUCUAUGUGAUUUUGUUGAUUACUUGAUUGAACUUAUGUCCCUUUAUGUAUGCAUAUAUUUAGUUAGUUGGUUCUUCAUAUUGCAUUUGUAUGUGAAUCUUAGACUGGUUUAUAUUGAACCUAUGUUAUGAAAGCUGCUGAAAUGUAUCUAAGUUGUGAUAACACAUUUGUUCAUUUAAAACACUCCUGCUAAGUUCCUUUGUACCUGAAGCCUAAUCUCAAACACACUUAGCAUUUUUCCCUUGAUUUGAUGAUAUAUUUAUCCUUAUUAAACCUCAUAUGAUGUCACUGUUAGUAAUACUUCCAUGACAUAAUCUCUGCUAAGUUCCCUUUGUGUGUGAUUAUGAUCCUGUAUUCAGCUAUGAUUUCCAACAUCUCUAUUUGACUUUCAUUACCACACGUAUGCCCACACUGCUAUGAAAACUUGACUAAGUUCUCUCAAGUAUACAAGACAUAACUCCAAAUGACCUCUUUGUUACUACUGCUUGGAUAUAACUGUUUGCUUCAUUUUAAUAGAAUUAGUUUAAAGUUAAAACUCCUAAAAGAGGUAAAUUUGUCAUUAAUUCUUAAUUUGAGGUAUGAUAGAUAAUCUGAGACCUUGUUAAUAAUCUUAGGAGCUGUAAUUAGAUUUGUGAACCUGUGACCUUAUUAGUGUCCUUAGAAGUUCUAAUUUGUGAUCUUGUAGUCUCCCUAAAAGCGUUGUUCUAGGAUAAAAUAUGCGAUCCUGUCAAUUUUUUUUGUAGUGCAAUAAUCUGUAUCAGUACAGUGUAGUUCUAAUUAUGGUUACUACUUUUAUAUUCUAUCAAUACUCCUUGAAUGUUCUAUUCAAAAUUGUUAAAAUGUGCCUCACGAUUAAGGCUAUUGAUAUGUAUUUAUCAUUAAAGAUGUAUAAACUGUCUGCAUUAGCAUUCUUUGGAAGGCAUUAACUGUAGUAAUGAAUCUGCAAUGUGGUUGACAUUCUCAGGAUUUUAGUUGUAAUCGUUAAACUAUCCUCUCCUAAUUCCCCUAGAUGUUUGAUUUCUUAACAGGAGCAUGACAAAGUAUGUUUGAAGAUUGUCUUCUUUGAAGCUAUUUAAUGUGUUAAUCAUCCAUUUAGUAUUGGAAAUGGUUAAGAUAUUGUAGAUAGACUGCCUUGUGGCCUUAUGAUAUUCUGUUUGGCACUCAUAAGAAGGGUGUACACUUAUGUGGUAUGGUAUUGCUAUGGUGAUCGGUUUACAUUGAAAAUGCCUCAUUGGCACUUAACCUAUGGGGAAGAGUGAGUAAUUAAUGGUUAGGCGUAUUUGGGAGUAGAGUUUAACUCUUGGUUGGGCUGCUCUCCCAAGCACAAGCAUUGCCCUAUGCCCUUGAGACCCUUUGGAACUUUGAAGUGUCAGGGGAUACAAAGGGGGAUUUGUCCUUGAGUAAAACUCUAUCCCUAGCCUCUAAUCCAUUAAUAUUCAUUACUCUUUUUGGGUUAAGUGUUUAAGAUAAAAAAGGGUUUCAAGGUAAAUCACUUUACAAUAUGUAACCUCCACAUUAGUAUAAUCUUUUAUAGUAUUUAAGUACUGCUAGUUGUUAUAUUGUUCAAGUCACUUACAUAUUUCAUGUAUAAUUAUAUGUAUAGAAUAUUAUUUCUAAUGACUUUCUCUCUUUCUUUUCUGAACAUGUAAAACCACUGGGCCUGCCGCAUUCUCAAGAAUCCCAGGCCCAAAUCUUGUGUCAUGCAUCUGAACAUCUAGAGCUUAUUGUUGUCCAUUCCUGCUAAUUGUCGGGCCUACCUCUUUUAUUCUGAUUCAAUUCACAUUCCAAACUAUGUAUUUUCUUUGUUGCUGCAGUUCAUCAGUUUGUGAUUUCCAAUGCUAUGUGAUAUUCUACUUAAUAUGCAAUCAGCAUGCCUAGAUUAUUGUAUCACAAAAACUUGUUUAAGCUUAUUCUGUUAAAGGCUAUAACUCUCACACUGUUUCGCAUUGUCAAUCCUGCUUUAAAUAAUUGGUUCACUAACAUUUCCCAAGCUGCAUUGUGUGUAUAUGAUUUCACCUAGCAUGACCAAAUUCUGCAUGUUCUGUAUGUGAAAAGUAUUUCUAAAACCUUGAAUAUUUCAUGAAGCUUUUGUCUAGUUUGUUCAUCUAAGUCCAGUUUGUUCUAUUUCACUAAUGAUGUCACGAUCCUAGUUUGCCCUCCAUGAAAAUUUUGUGACGGAACCUAGUCCCUAUAACUAGGUAAGCCUAACA